This 785-nucleotide small RNA is filed under the name Vigna angularis var. angularis. RNAcentral's name for it is "Non-protein coding transcript". The record is from RNAcentral. Lineage: Eukaryota; Viridiplantae; Streptophyta; Magnoliopsida; Fabales; Fabaceae.
GAUUUUCCAGGGCAUGUAGCAACAGGGAGAUUCAGCAACGGAAAAUUGGUAUCUGAUUUUCUUGCGUCUGCCUUGAAUAUCAAAGACACUGUUCCUCCUUUUCUAAAUCCAGACCUAAGUGACCAAGAACUUCUAACAGGAGUUUCUUUUGCCUCGGGAGAAUCUGGUAUUGAUGAGCUCACUGCAUCUCUCACAAAUGUUUUAUCGAUGGACCAACAGCUUCAAUAUUUCAAAGCUUACACAAUGAAGCUGAAGCAAAUCGUAGGAGAAGAUCAAGCCAUGCAAAGACUUCGAGAUGCUCUUGUUCUCAUCUCUGUCGGUACUAACGAUUUCAUUUUGAAUUUCCAUGACUUCCCCUCUCGAAGACUCAUGUUCGUCACCAUUGAUGCUUACCAAGAUUAUUUGCUUGAUAAGUUGGAGGUCAUAAUUAAGGAACUGUAUGAUGAAGGAUGUAGGAACAUUGGUGUGGCUGGGCUUCCUCCCCUUGGUUGUGUUCCUCUUCAAAUGUCCCUAAAAUUCAAAAUUGAUAGGCAAUGUUUGGUGCAUCAGAAUGCCGACAGUGAGAAGUAUAAUCGGAAGUUGGCUCAGAGACUCUCCCUGUUACAAGCUACACUCCCUCAAAGCAAAAUUGUAUAUGGAGAUUUGUACCACCCCCUACUCAACCUUUAUACUCAUCCUCAGCAUUAUGGUAUGGAGGUAACAAACAGAGGGUGUUGUGGAUCAGGUUACUUGGAAGUGAUUGAGAUAUGUAAUGCAUAUACACCUCUAUGCAGUAAUCACUCAAA